GUGAGGAAUUUUCCGCAAUGGGCGAAAGCCUGACGGAGCAAUGCCGCGUGAAGGAUGAUGGCCUAUGGGUUGUAAACUUCUUUUCUCAGAAAAGAAUUAUGACGGUAUCUGAGGAAUAAGCAUCGGCUAACUCUGUGCCAGCAGCCGCGGUAAGACAGAGGAUGCAAGCGUUAUCCGGAAUGAUUGGGCGUAAAGCGUCUGUAGGUUGUUUAAAAAGUAUUCUGUCAAAGAUUAGGGCUUAACCCUAGAUAGGCAGAAUAAACUUUUAAGCUAGAGUUUGGUAGAGGCAGAGGGAAUUCCCGGUGGAGCGGUGAAAUGCGUAGAUAUCGGGAGGAACACCAAAGGCGAAGGCACUCUGCUGGGCCAAUACUAACACUGAGAGACGAAAGCGAGGGGAGCAAAUGGGAUUAGAUACCCCAGUAGUCC
RNAcentral lists this ribosomal RNA (426 nucleotides) under uncultured bacterium. RNAcentral describes it as "partial 16S ribosomal RNA". It matches the Rfam family "Bacterial small subunit ribosomal RNA", at positions 354 to 796 of the family's 1533-position model. The record is from RNAcentral.